GAUCCUGGCUCAGGAUGAACGCUGGCGGCGUGCUUAACACAUGCAAGUCGAACGAGAAAUGAAGACGGAAACCUUCGGGCGGAAGGCUUCACUUCGAGUGGCGGACGGGUGAGUAACGCGUGGGUAACCUGCCUCAUACAGGGGGAUAACAGUUGGAAACGACUGUUAAUACCGCAUAAGACCACAGCACCGCAUGGUGCGGGGGUAAAAACUCCGGUGGUAUGAGAUGGACCCGCGUUCGAUUAGCCAGUUGGCGGGG
RNAcentral lists this ribosomal RNA (259 nucleotides) under uncultured bacterium. Its description in RNAcentral is "partial 16S ribosomal RNA". It matches the Rfam family "Bacterial small subunit ribosomal RNA", at positions 15 to 257 of the family's 1533-position model. The record is from RNAcentral.